AUUUGAUUCACCAAAACAAUUGAAUAGUUGAAUAACCAAACUUUAUAAAGACCAAUGUUCAUCUUGUCCAAGCAGAAGAAAAAUAAACAAAAGAUCGAGCACUACUGAAACGAAGGGAAAUGAGAUGUCAAUUAAGCACGUUCGCCACGGAUGCGACGUGCAAGCUGGAUGUCCUUCGGCAUGAUCGUCACACGCUUGGCAUGAAUGGCGCACAGGUUGGUGUCCUCGAAGAGACCAACAAGGUAUGCCUCCGCAGCCUCCUGGAGGGCAAGGACAGCAUGGCUCUGGAAACGCAGA
Molecule: unclassified non-coding RNA, 297 nt
Filed under: Hevea brasiliensis (rubber tree)
Lineage: Eukaryota; Viridiplantae; Streptophyta; Magnoliopsida; Malpighiales; Euphorbiaceae
Source: RNAcentral